RNAcentral lists this ribosomal RNA (215 nucleotides) under Staphylococcus aureus. RNAcentral's name for it is "partial 23S ribosomal RNA". It matches the Rfam family "Bacterial large subunit ribosomal RNA", at positions 513 to 731 of the family's 2925-position model. The record is from RNAcentral. Lineage: Bacteria; Bacillati; Bacillota; Bacilli; Caryophanales; Staphylococcaceae.
GGUGAAAAGCACCCCGGAAGGGGAGUGAAAUAGAACCUGAAACCGUGUGCUUACAAGUAGUCAGAGCCCGUUAAUGGGUGAUGGCGUGCCUUUUGUAGAAUGAACCGGCGAGUUACGAUUUGAUGCAAGGUUAAGCAGUAAAUGUGGAGCCGUAGCGAAAGCGAGUCUGAAUAGGGCGUUUAGUAUUUGGUCGUAGACCCGAAACCAGGUGAUCU